RNAcentral lists this ribosomal RNA (241 nucleotides) under uncultured Staphylococcus sp. RNAcentral describes it as "partial 16S ribosomal RNA". It matches the Rfam family "Bacterial small subunit ribosomal RNA", at positions 99 to 334 of the family's 1533-position model. Lineage: Bacteria; Bacillati; Bacillota; Bacilli; Caryophanales; Staphylococcaceae. The record is from RNAcentral.
CGGACGGGUGAGUAACACGUGGAUAACCUACCUAUAAGACUGGGAUAACUUCGGGAAACCGUAGCUAAUACCGGAUAAUAUAUUGAACCGCAUGGUUCAAUAGUGAAAGACGGUUUUGCUGUCACUUAUAGAUGGAUCCGCGCCGCAUUAGCUAGUUGGUAAGGUAACGGCUUACCAAGGCAACGAUGCGUAGCCGACCUGAGAGGGUGAUCGGCCACACUGGAACUGAUACACGGUCCAG